Lycium ferocissimum is the source of this 521-nucleotide long non-coding RNA. RefSeq lists it as uncharacterized. Lineage: Eukaryota; Viridiplantae; Streptophyta; Magnoliopsida; Solanales; Solanaceae. The record is from RefSeq and is a predicted model, not a curated record. The transcript has 2 exons.
UAUUAUGGCAAAAUACGUAUUGAUUUUGGUGUAUUUGGAAGUCUUCAAAUACACGGAUAUGUGGCAUUUAACGUGUAUGAUAAAAACAAAUCCCUGGAUAUUAGGCACUAGUCAUGCGUUUAAUAUGGAAGGUGAAAUUAAAUAUUUUACAAUCUCUUCCAGCAAAUUAGAAUCUCAUUAAUCACACGUUUCUCCUUCUCUCUCUCCUUAUUCUUCUUAGUAAUGUAAAAUCAAUCUUCAAAAACAUUCAAAACACAGGGAACUUAAAAAACAGAGGUUUUGAUGACACAAAAACAAAUUUGGAGAAAAUCUUUUACAAAUCAAACUCACUGUACAAACAGUUGAAGUACCGCUUUUGGAGGUUACCAAGCAUAUUGAAUUCGGUUGCAGGAAAAUGUCGUCUAUAUCUUCGUUAAUUAGACACUGUGGUACUUGGAAUAAUGAGAACCGUUAUGUGAAUUUCAAAAUCGAUGCUGUUGUUUUCAAAGAGUAUUCAACAUAUAUGGAUUUGUUACAGACAA